Molecule: non-coding RNA, 185 nt
Filed under: Steroidobacteraceae bacterium
Lineage: Bacteria; Pseudomonadati; Pseudomonadota; Gammaproteobacteria; Steroidobacterales; Steroidobacteraceae
Description: 6S RNA
Rfam family: 6S / SsrS RNA
About the family: E. coli 6S RNA was the first non coding RNA to be sequenced, but its function was unknown until recently. It consists of 184 nucleotides that fold into an extended hairpin structure with a large single-stranded internal bulge. The 6S RNA specifically associates with RNA polymerase holoenzyme containing the sigma70 specificity factor.
Source: RNAcentral
CGCCACCUGCGGUGUUCGAGGCGGGUUCGGGAACCUCUCGACCCUAAUUUGAAAAACCCAGGGGCCGUAUCUUGCGGCAAGAGUGUGCAAGUCCGCCUCGAGCGGGAAGCCUUUAUUGCUGCAGUAAGCCCCACCUGUUGCUCCGGUCGGGAGCGACGAUCCAAUACGGCACAGGCGGGUGGCGC